UACGGGGGGGGCAAGCGUUGUUCGGAAUUACUGGGCGUAAAGCGCACGUAGGCGGGUGGUUAAGUCAGGGGUGAAAUCCCGGAGCUCAACUCCGGAACUGCCUUUGAUACUGGCCAUCUAGAGAUCGGAAGAGGUGAGUGGAAUUCCCAGUGUAGAGGUGAAAUUCGUAGAUAUUGGGAAGAACACCAGUGGCGAAGGCGGCUCACUGGUCCGAUACUGACGCUGAGGUGCGAAAGCGUGGGGAGCAAACAGG
This 253-nucleotide ribosomal RNA is filed under the name uncultured bacterium. RNAcentral describes it as "partial 16S ribosomal RNA". It matches the Rfam family "Bacterial small subunit ribosomal RNA", at positions 524 to 776 of the family's 1533-position model. The record is from RNAcentral.